This is a long non-coding RNA of Myxocyprinus asiaticus (Chinese sucker), 181 nucleotides long. RefSeq lists it as uncharacterized. The transcript has 3 exons. The record is from RefSeq and is a predicted model, not a curated record. Lineage: Eukaryota; Metazoa; Chordata; Actinopteri; Cypriniformes; Catostomidae.
AUAUUGUCUAGGUAGGCAGCUCACUAAUGUUGUCUAGGUAGGCAGCUCACUAAUGUUGUCUAGGUAGGCAGCUCACUAAUGCUGUCUAGGUAGGCAGCUCACUAAUGCUGUCUAGGUAGGCAGCUCACUAAUGCUGUCUAGGUAGGCAGCUCACUAAUGCUGUCUAGGUAGGCAGCUCACU